UCAUGCUAGACGGGGAGGUAGCGGUGCCCUGUAACCUGCAAUCCGCUAUAGCAGGGUUGAUGUCUGUUCGAGGGUUGGCUUUGUGGAGUCUGCCUCAGGUAAGUGGUGUUGACGGCUGGGUCCUGCGCAACGUGAACUUAUGAACCUUGUCAGGUCCGGAAGGAAGCAGCAAUAAGUAAGCACUUGCGUGUGCCGCGGGAGUGCCUGGUUCGAGCUAACUGCCUGGGUACCGUCCGGAAAGUUCUUCUCAGAGACAGAUGCAUGA
Molecule: signal recognition particle RNA, 265 nt
Filed under: Peptococcaceae bacterium
Lineage: Bacteria; Bacillati; Bacillota; Clostridia; Eubacteriales; Peptococcaceae
Description: signal recognition particle sRNA large type
Rfam family: Bacterial large signal recognition particle RNA
About the family: The signal recognition particle (SRP) is a universally conserved ribonucleoprotein involved in the co-translational targeting of proteins to membranes. Archaeal SRP consists of a 7S RNA and homologues of the eukaryotic SRP19 and SRP54 proteins.
Source: RNAcentral